Molecule: ribosomal RNA, 253 nt
Filed under: uncultured bacterium
Lineage: Bacteria
Description: partial 16S ribosomal RNA
Rfam family: Bacterial small subunit ribosomal RNA
Source: RNAcentral
UACGAAGGGGGCUAGCGUUGCUCGGAAUUACUGGGCGUAAAGGGCGCGUAGGCGGUUCUCUAAGUCAGGCGUGAAAUUCCUGGGCUUAACCUGGGGGCUGCGCUUGAGACUGUGGGACUUGAGGUCAGAAGAGGGUCGUGGAAUUCCCAGUGUAGAGGUGAAAUUCGUAGAUAUUGGGAAGAGCACCGGUGGCGAAGGCGGCGACCUGGUCUGAUACUGACGCUGAGGCGCGACAGCGUGGGGAGCAAACAGG